GUUGAAGUUAUAUUGUGAUUGAUUAUUGUAAAAUUUUAAUUUCAAUACUGUAUUGAAUACAUUUUUAAUAAUUUUCAAAUUUCAUUUUUAUUAAAAAAAAUCCUAAAUUUAUAAAAUUCAGCUGAUAGAUACAAAAAAUAGGUCUAGGUUGGUUAAGACUUGGUCGAGUAUGAUUCAGACUAGGUCGAGUAUGGUUCAGACUAGGUCGAGUACGGUUCAGACUAGGUCGAGUACGGUUCAGACUAGUAUAAAAUGUUUAAGUACUGGUCAAGUACACAUUCAGACUGUUGAGUAUGGUUCAGACUACAGUCGAGUAUUAUCAAGUAAAUCUCAGACGAAUUCAGACUGGUCGAGUAAAAAUCAGUACAGUCGAGUACAGAUAUAGGCCAUUUCAGACUUUUAAUGGUUUGUAGUGUUUAUGCUCUGUAUUUAAAAUCUUUUCAUACUGAAUGUAAAAUAUUGUUGACAGGGAUAGGGACUUGACAUCUGAUUCUUAAAAAUUAAUUGGAUGCAUUUAAGGUGGUACCUAACACUUUCACUAAAUAAAUUUUGCUCGUUUAAUUUUCAUAAAACUUGAACAAUGUUUUUACUUUGACCCUUUUACAAAAAUAUAAAAAUUUCUAAAAUUUGGAACCAAACGUUUAGUCAGAAAAAUUACACUAGUUACAUAGCAGUUUGACAAACACCAAUUUUGAUCAUUGAGAAGCUUAAUAUUCCCUUUACAACACAAUAUUAUUAAAACGUUUAGCUGACUUUACAGAGUUAUCUCCCUGUAGUGUUAGGUACCACCUUAAAGCAUUUCAAAAACAAAUGAAUAGGGAAAAGAGUGAUCUUAGUAUAUACAUAAAUCAAUAUUUUCAGCUUAAUUUUUCAUUGUACUCGGUACAUACAUUAAGAUGUAAAGAUUUAUGUCUAGGAUAUAUAUUUUUUAUUCAUGAUGAUAUGUUUUAUGAUAUGAACACAUUCCAGUAUUUAUAGUUUUUAGUUUGUUGCCAUCGUUACAAAGCUGCUCUUAGAAAAUAUAUUUUGGAUAAUGGGUUGUAUUGUGAUUUCAUCUAUAAGAACUUGGCAACAAUUCAAAUCAUGUGACAGGUAGCAUUGUUUCAGCAUACAUAUACUAAUAAAUCUAGGACAACAAUAUAGCUUCAUAUGCAAGUUGACCUCCAAAUUGAAGCCCACUGAAUGACCUUGAGCAACAUUAUGAAUUUAAGAAGACCACUUCCCUGAAUGAAUAAAGCAUUCUUUAUAUGUACCAAAGUAUUUUUUGGAGCAGCUAAAUGAUGGCAAUUAACUCUUAUGUAAAAUAUUUUGAGUAAUGAUAGGUAAGUGUAAUCUUGAUCACAUGGUCAAGCCGUGAGAAAAAAUAUUGUAUUUUAAAAAAUAUUACUGCAAAAGUUUUGUAUGGGGUUUAAAUGACAGACAGAUUCCAUAAUAGUUAAUAUUUGUACAGAGAUGCAAGCUGCUGGCCAGCUUAUUAUACUACAAGAAUUUAUAUAUAACUGUAUUAUUUAGUAAUGAUCUCAUUUAAUAUAUGUUGGUAUUUUUUAUUAUUUAGACAAAAAAUUACCUCCCUUGUAAUCGUGUCAAAAAUAAUAAGUUAAAGUGAGAAUGUUUUCCAGUUUGUUUUCUUAGAAUAUUUCACACAUGUUUGGGACCAAAAUAGAUAUAUUGUGAUCAUUAAAUUUUUGUUUUUUUAUCAUUCUAUUAUUGUAGUAAUGUCAUUGUAUUCACAUGUGUAUAGUUCAGAAAGCAUUUUUUAUGUGUUUUGAGAACAGUUAUAUAAGAUCUCAAUCAAAAUUCAAUGUUGUAGUACUUCAAAAAAAAUAAAAUACCAUUUUAUUUGAAAUUAUCUCAUGGUUGUUAGAGACGAAAUAUAGUACGAACCAUUAUUUUCCUCCCUUUGAAUAACAUCAGCAGAUCCAGAGGUGCCCUUUUGUGGGAAAAAUAUGGUUGAUCAUAUAUUCUUCACUAUCAAUUUACAAUAAAAACAAUUAAACAGUAGGUACUGAUAUAAAUUCUUUUCAAAUAAAAUGGCUGAAGCAAGUAAACUUUUUUGUUGUCUGUCCUUGGUAAUUGGCAACUGGUUGGAAUUUCUUCUUCUUUAACUUCUGAAGCAGAUAAAUAAGGCAUAACAUUUUAUUUCUUAAGACACAAAUCAAUCUUUAAUUGUAGGUUUUUCUAACAAUUUUUGGAUCAUUUGAACGGUAUAACAUGCAGAAAGAUCUGAAAAUCAAUAUUUGCAAUUUAUGUAUACAAUGUAUUUUAAAAUCUCAGUUCUUGCCAAAAUGUUGAUUUUAUAUGUAUAAACAUAAUAUGAGUUGUCAAUCAUGUUAUAUUUAACCAUUAACAAUGUUUAAACUUAGCAGUUAUAUUAAUACAUAACAUGUACCAUAAAACAAGAAAUUGUCCUUGAAUGUUAUUACUGACAGUCACUUGGCAUUGUAUGGAGUAAAAACACGCUUGAUUUAAUGAAAAGUUGGCUUUGCAAUGUCAUGAUUGGUAGGUUUUUUAGGAUGUUUUGGAAUUCAAUGUUUAUUCUUUUUAAUUUCCCUUAAUUUUAGAAAAAUUUAUAUCCGACAAAGCUAUAUUCAAGCUUGCUUUAUUGAACUUAUUUCUUUCAAAACAAUUAAAACAUGUUAAAAUUUCCUAUUUUGUACUAAGUUCUUGGUUUCCCCUGUUUAAUUGUUCCAUAAAGGUAUCAAUUGCAGAUAUAUUGAUGUUAGUAUUCUUACACAGUUAGUUAUUGUAGAAGAAAAACCCAUUUAGAAUACAUUAACAGAGGCGGAUUUAGAGGGGGGCCCAGGGGCCCGGCCCCCCCCGUUUUGGGAAAAAAUUUGGUUGCUUAUAUAGAGAAUCACUGAAGCGUGACUGGAGCGGGCCCCCUCUUAGGUCAGUCAGUGGGCCCUCACUUAUGAAAAUUUCUGGAUCCGCCACUGAUUAAGGCAACUGACCUUUUUCAGUUUCUUUGGUCUUUCUGAACUACAUGUUAGGUCAGUCACUUUUCUCAAUGCAUUUAGAUAUGACAAGUUGCAAUACUUAUUGCAGAAAGUAGUUAAAAAUGUUGUAGGUUUACUUACAGAUACUGUAGAUAUUUCAACUUUUUGUUGUUUGUUCCCAAUUACUCAUGGAUAGAUAACAUGAUAACAAAUUCUCAUCAAGGGUUAGUUUUUGGAAAACUGGCCCAUUGUCAGUUCCUUCUCAUUUCUAGAGAACUUUUUCUUUUAAAUCCAAAAAAUAAAUCACUUAUUUCACACAUGAUUUCUUUCGUAGUAUAGGUAUCACUGAUUUAGAUAGUUAAUAUGCUCAAGGUUAACAUGUGUAUGCAUUUGUUUUAAUUAAUGAUAUGUAAUUUGUAAAUCCCUGCUUCAAAGACGGGGGUAUAAUGACUUAUAUCAGUCACACCAGCCGUUCAUCAACCGUUCAUCAAUCUACAUUUGUUUGCUUGUUCAGAACACAUUUCUGUCACAUUUAACUUUUACUGCAAUAAUUUCUAUAUAUAUGACACUUAGCUUCACCUGUUAUGCUAUACUGUAUUACACAUUAAUUGGUUCCUUUAUAUGGUCUACUUCCGGUUUGCUGGAAACUCUUAAAAAUGUACAAAUAUGAAAUUUUGGCACACAUGGAUUUUUUAAUAUUUGGCAUUUUUUGCAAAAAAUUAUUGAUUCACAUAUUGAUUGUAAAAUAGUCAACAACAUUGAGCUUUUGUUACAUCAGUGAGCCAUAGCUCCAAUAGACCAUUCACAUUACCGACUUUUGAUCCUUUGUUCUACAAUUAUUUGACAGGUUACCUACUCUGUGGUAGGCCAUCCUGGUACUCAGUCAGUUACGAGCAGUCAAAAAAAAGGAAAAUUAAAUAUAUGAUCAGUGCAAUUUGGGAGAAAAUUACUAUUUUUCGAUGAUUAAUUCAUAAAUAUAAAGCAUUUAAACAGUUACCUUUCCCUUAAAACUGUAUCGAUUAAAAUAUUGAAUUUACUUAUUCAAAUGCUCUUGCUUGACCCAGUACCAGGAUGUCCUACCACAGAGUAGGUAACCGUUGGAAAAAAUAUUAAUUCCAGAGUAAAAAGUGGGUGAUAUGAAAAUGGACUAUUCAUCUUGUUUGUCAACCUAAUUUACCGGUAUCCAUUUUAAUAUUCCAUGACUGCUCAAUCUGGCGGAGCCAGUAGUUUGUUAUUAUCGUCUUAAGUAGAAAUAUUCUAGUCUUCAUGAAUUGCGUCUUCAAAAUUGAUUAUAAAUACUUAAACAAAGUUAAUAUCUCUUUUAACUUUUUCAUACGAUUUCAAUUAAUCAUUUAAGAACAAAAUUUCCUUAAGUCUAUGGCAGCCUACAGAAAUUUCAGUAUAGCAUACAAUUUUUACCAAGAAUUUGUGCAAUUUAAAGAUUAUCAAUUGUAUGAACAUUUGUUAUUUUUGAAAAAUAUAAAGACCUGUAGAUGUCUUUGUCCAAUUGGUAACAGGGGCGGAUCCAGCCAUUUUAAAAAGGGGGUUUCCAACCCAGGACAAAUGGAGGUUCCAACUAUAUGUCCCAAUUCAAAUGCAUUGAUCAUCCAAAAAAAAGGGGGGGUUCCAACCCAGAACCCUCCCCCUGGAUCCGCCACUGGGUAAUCAUUGAGGUUGCUGUCUCAUUAACAUGUAUCUCGUUUUAAUCACAAUCAUAACUUUUAUUCAUAAUUAUAACUUACUCCUAUUUCAACUGGAAUAAAAUAAACUACCCCAAUAGACAAUUUUCAUAUUACCGACUUUUGACUUUGGACAAUUAUUUGACUGGUUACCUACUUUGUGGAAGACAUCCUGGCCAAUUACGAGCAACGAAAAAAAUUAAAAUCGAAUAUACAUUCAUUGCAAUUUGGGGUGAAAUUUACUAUGAUACCAUGAUUUUAUCGCGUGUAGAAAUCAUUUAAACAGUUAACUUUCCCUCAAAAUUGUACUGAUUAAAAUCUUCAAUUUACUUAUUUGUCUUGCUCUUGCUUGACGGAGUACCAGGAUGUCCUAACACGGAAAAGGUUACUUGUCGAAAAAAUAUUAAUUCUGGAGUCGAAAGUUGGUAAUAUGAAAAUGGACUAUAAAGGAUGGGUUAUUUAUGUGUAUCUGAAGUACUAGUAAAUGUGUCGAUACUUGAUUUGUAUGCUGUGUAAUAGUUAUCCUGUAGAUUUUGCUUCCUAUAAUUAUGUCUCAUACUUGACCUGAGACAUUUUGAGUACAUUCUACUUAUAAAUUGUAACUGUGGUAAAUAUGUAUUAUUGAUAAAAUAAAAUGUGUUCUUUCUCAAAAAGAGAGAACAUUUAAUUUUAAAAUAUUGAUGUACUUGUGUUUUUUCUUAAUCCCGAGGCAAUUAAAAUUAAACAAUAAAACUGAUCUCAUUACAGUAUUCUAUUCACCUGUUGAGUUAUUCUUUAGAUCAAGUUAAGGUAGUUCUACUACAGUAAUCACUAGCCAGUCACAGAGGUUGUGAGGUCUAACCCUAGGGUGUACUCGACUUCAAUCAUAAUUGACAAAGAUUGUCAGUUUUCCUAUUGAAGGUCUGUGGUUUUCACAGGU
Molecule: long non-coding RNA, 5534 nt
Filed under: Mytilus galloprovincialis (Mediterranean mussel)
Lineage: Eukaryota; Metazoa; Mollusca; Bivalvia; Mytilida; Mytilidae
Source: RNAcentral